This 1002-nucleotide long non-coding RNA is filed under the name Durio zibethinus. RNAcentral's name for it is "long non-coding RNA (DZIB_LNC002330)". The record is from RNAcentral. Lineage: Eukaryota; Viridiplantae; Streptophyta; Magnoliopsida; Malvales; Malvaceae.
UCGUUUUAUGAGGUAAUGUUGUGACAUUCAAGAAACUAUUAGUAAACCUUGUUAAAGGAAAAGUGUAGACACCUUAUUUAGGCCCAAAUUAAUUGAACUUGGAUUCAUUUCAAGUCUAAUUGUUGAAUUUGGUUUUUUUCUAUAUGUAUAUUUUAUUUUUGCUUUAUUCUUUUAUUUUCAAUUUAUUGUUAUCUGUAUAAAUAUAUAUUUAUUUUAUUUAUCCUUUUUACUUUAUCAUGAUUGUUUAUCUGUUGAGUUAAUUUUUAAUUAUUUAGUUUUAUUUGUCUUGUUUUUGAUUGAUUAAUUAUCUGUUUUAAGGAAAAUCAAAAUUUAAAAUUAUUGGCUAGGGUCUUGAUAAUUUCAUGAAGUGAAGCUAAAAUUUUGUAGAUAAUUCAUGAGUUUUGAAACUCAAUUUGAUCUUAAACUCUUUUCUCUCAAGGAUUUUGACUUUAUAUAAAGCAAAGGAAGGAAAUGAUCAAUACCCAAAAAUCAAAAAGAGGAAAGACAUAGACGAAAGGUAGAAAAUUGAUAGCAAAUUUUUCAUGCAGUGGGGUUUAAUUUCGGGUAGUACUUUUGUUCUUAGGUUUGGCGGAUUUUAAGAGUAAUUUUUGAGAAAAUUUGAGGUUAAAUAGGUUUUGGGAAGUCAAGAUUUGUUAAAAAGAAGCUGCUGGAAUCUUUCCACAAAUUUCUAGAAUUUUUUGGUGAAAUUCAAACUUUUCAAUGAAAUCCCUAAUUUUUGACGACCGAUCCCAAUUUCCAGCAACAUCCAUAGAAUUUCGACAAGAAUUUCCGAUUUUCAAUGAGAUCCUGAUCAAAAACCCAAACCUGAUAGAAAUUCUGACCACGAAUGAUUUUUUUGAUGAAAAUCUAUAAAAUCUAGCUAUUGAUGUUUCUCUCUUAGAGAGAGAAGUAGAAGAGAUGAGAAAAAGAGAGAGGGAAAACAAACUUUAGAAAAAAAAUUUUUCUUUCGCUUUUUUAUCGAAUUGAAAUGGCAAUGUUUUG